AAUCAACGCUGGCGGCGUGCCUCAGACAUGCAAGUCGAACGCGAAAUCUCCCUUCGGGGAGAAAGUAGAGUGGCGCACGGGUGAGUAACACGUAGGUAAUCUACCUUUGGAUGGGGAAUAACACCGAGAAAUCGGUGCUAAUACCGCAUAAUGCAGCGGCACCUAAUGGUGACAGUUGUUAAAGCGGGGGAUCGCAAGACCUCGCGUCUAAAGAGGAGCCUGCGGCGGAUUAGCUAGUUGGUAAGGUAUUGGCUUACCAAGGCAACGAUCCGUAACCGGCCUGAGAGGGCGGUCGGUCACACUGACACUGACAUACGGGUCAGACUCCUACGGGAGGCAGCAGUCGGGAAUUUUGGGCAAUGGGCGAAAGCCUGACCCAGCAACGCCGCGUGAAGGAUGAAAUCCCUCGGGAUGAAAACUUCGCAAGAACGGGAAGAAUAAGCCGGUGCAAAAUAUCACCGGCGAUGACGGUACCGUUUGUAAGCUCCGGCUAACUCCGUGCCAGCAGCCGAC
Molecule: ribosomal RNA, 513 nt
Filed under: uncultured bacterium
Lineage: Bacteria
Description: bacterial SSU rRNA
Rfam family: Bacterial small subunit ribosomal RNA
Source: RNAcentral